UCCUACUAUAUGUGGGCUUGAGAAAUAGCGUUUACAGGGGCCUUCGCACCCCACACACAGAGUAGUAUAUCAUGUUCUUUCACAUGUUUUACCAUUAAAAUAAAUCAUUUGGUUCGAUCGAUCACAAGCCCCUAAUGCUGAAUUGCAAAGUGACUAAACAUGCAACAAAUCACCAAACUCCAAUUUAUUAUUACACACCAAAGGCGCACAACAGUUUAACUGAAGAAUGAUACUAAAAAUUAAGUCUGAUAGGUGGAUCAUCAAAGGAGAAUCAACGUAUCCAAGAGCAAGGCCAACAUAGGAGUGGUGCACCACGCAAGGGACAUAGCCAGUCGAGGAAAUUCGGCCAGUGAUCCUCAGAAGAACCCCCAAAUGAUGCCACCCCCACGCUGCACGGUAGGCUUCACCUGCCACCUACUCCAUGACUUUUGCUCCUAGCGUCAACACCCUUUGAUCUCCCUCCUUUUAUCUGGAAAAUUGCCCAAUUUGUUAGCCACUUACAUAUCAACCUGAUAAGCAUAAUUAGAACAUUUAUCAGCUUCUUUUUCCAAAAACAACAACUGUUUCUGCAUCUUCAAAUUGUCCAAAAGAUAGCAGCGACACAAACUAACACCUGUUUUUUAGUUACAUCAUGUUGAAUUUUUUUAAUCUAGUCACUACAUCACAAAAUCAGAUUGGCAGGAUUGAUCUCAAAUUUAAAGCAUAUUUAAGAAAACCCCACACUAGUUUAUCCACUGAACAUCUGAAAAAAAGUGUUUAUUGUUCUCAUCUUGACCACAAAACACACAAUUUUUGGGAUCUAUCUAGCCACUUUUCAAUAAAUUGUCUCUAGUUAAUAUGCCAUUUUGAGCAUCAACCAAAGAAAGACUUUGAUUUUUGGCGGAAUUUUAUUUUUUCUUAAAAAAAUUGUGCCAAACCACAAUAUUGAACAACAAGGUGUCUAUAAAGUGAUUUAACUUUAAAAAGACCAUAUGCAAUUAACAUGCACUUAAUAGAAUCCUUGUUGCGAGACAUCACAUUCCAUCACAUCUCCUUUUGAGGAUAUCCCAAAGAGUAAGAGUAUCACCUCACAAUGUUAUUCUAAAUCUAAAACCCUCCCAACUUCUCUACAAGGCAUUAGCUGCAGUAAUAUUAUGAUCAAAGCUCAAAUUAUACUAUAUAGCAUAAGAGAUUUUAAGAGGUUUAUAAUCCACCAACAGUCCCCGAAAAUCUAGCAUUCUUUCCAUUAUCCACUUUUUUGCAAUAUUGGUAGAAUGUGUAUUUAAUUUUCAUGAGACUGGACCAAAAAUGGGAGUGCCUAGUUUUAGGUUUAGUUCCAAAAAGGCAACCCUUCCGAACAUGCUUAUUCAAGAGAAUCAUGUGCCAAAUACCAUUUUUAGUUUCUAAGUUCCAUAACUAUUUAGCAGACAAGUUUUGUUCAUGAGUUCAGGAUUUAAAAUCCAUAAACCACCUUGAUCUUUAGGUCUAAAUCAAGUGUUCUAGAUUACUAAGUGUUAUUUUUUUCUUAUUGUCAUCUCCCUGCCAAACAAACCUAGCCAUGAAGAGAUUGGCUCUUGGAUGGGGUAGAAACACAUAAGUUGAAUCUCCCCCUCUAUUGUUAAAUCUUCUCUCAUAGUGAUAGUUAUUAAAUCUCUCCCCUUUUGUUGAAUCUACCUUGCGCGCCUGCACCACCAUAAGACCUAGCCAUACCUUCUUGCUCACCAGGUGGCGGUGGUAGAGCAAUAAAGCCUUACCACACAUCGCUUGCAUCCCCACCAAAUUCUCUUAGGGGGUGGAUCAAAGCAUCCAAAUACCCAAAGGUAGCAGAAGGCACAUUCUCCUUAUGUGCUUUCCUAUCCCACCAACCUGGACCUCCUAGAUAAAAAACAUCCAGUCCAACCGCCCAGGGCCAACUACAGAAGGUUCUAUGGGUAAAGGACAAAACCCUAAAACACCCCUCCUUGCUCAAUAUUUAUCAUCACAACAUCAAUGUAAUCUAAGAAAUUCACCCCAAAAAACAAGCAUAUCCUUUGCAAAAUUGAAAGGAUAGAUGGAAAAUAACCAAUUCUCAUAGCCUUUUUGACUAAAUUUCGACCAUUAACAUCUAAAUUCCAUUUAAUCACUAUAUCAUCACAAAAUUUGAUAUUGUCGGUAUCAACAUCAGAAAGAUCCAAGGACAAAUCAUCCUCAUAACAGUAUUACAAUCAAAAUCAAUGACAUGAUCAACUUCCAUUGGGAAAUCCACCGAAAACUUUUAUGAGCAUGCAACUAAGAUCUCCUAACCCUAUUUCUUGCAACUACAAUCCCCCACUGUUAGUUUGUACAUGAGAAUGUAAAUAUUUGUAGGGAUCAACAAUCUUACUCGAAAAUGAAGCAGCAAAAUGAUCGUAGGAGUCCUCGACUCCUCCCCGGUAGCAGCCAUAAUUGACUGCCUGCCAGGAAGACACCUACUCAUCGGCGG
This 2440-nucleotide long non-coding RNA is filed under the name Triticum aestivum (bread wheat). RNAcentral describes it as "long non-coding RNA (TAES_LNC006318)". Lineage: Eukaryota; Viridiplantae; Streptophyta; Magnoliopsida; Poales; Poaceae. The record is from RNAcentral.